This 1541-nucleotide ribosomal RNA is filed under the name Mesomycoplasma flocculare. RNAcentral describes it as "bacterial SSU rRNA". It matches the Rfam family "Bacterial small subunit ribosomal RNA". The record is from RNAcentral. Lineage: Bacteria; Bacillati; Mycoplasmatota; Mycoplasmoidales; Metamycoplasmataceae.
CGCAAUCAUGAGAGUUUGAUCCUAGCUCAGGAUGAACGCUAGCUGUGUGCUUAAUACAUGCAUGUUGAACGGGAUAGUAUUUUAGUUUUACUAAAGUAUUGUUUUAGUAGCAAAUGGGUGAGUAACACGUACCUAACCUACCUUUUGGACUGGGAUAACCAUUGGAAACAGUGGCUAAUACCGGAUAUAAUAAAAAUUCACAUGAAUUUUUAUGAAAAGGAGCGAAAAUAAGCUCCACCAAAAAAUGGGGGUGCGCAACAUUAGUUAGUUGGUAGGGUAAAGGCCUACCAAGACGAUGAUGUUUAGCGGGGCCAAGAGGUUGUACCGCCACACUGGGAUUGAGAUACGGCCCAGACUCCUACGGGAGGCAGCAGUAAGGAAUAUUCCACAAUGAGCGAAAGCUUGAUGGAGCGACACAGCGUGCAGGAUGAAGUCUUUAGGUAUGUAAACUGCUGUUGUAAGGGAAGAAAAAAAUUAGGUAGGGAAUGAUCUAAUCUUGACGGUACCUUACUAGAAAGCGACGGCAAACUAUGUGCCAGCAGCCGCGGUAAUACAUAGGUCGCAAGCGUUAUCCGGAAUUAUUGGGCGUAAAGCGUUCGUAGGUUUUUUGUUAAGUUUAAGGUUAAAUGCUAAAGCUCAACUUUAGUCCGCUUUAGAUACUGGCAAAAUAGAAUUAUGAAGAGGUUAGCGGAAUUCCUAGUGGAGUGGUGGAAUACGUAGAUAUUAGGAAGAACACCAAUAGGCGAAGGCAGCUAACUGGUCAUAUAUUGACACUGAGGGACGAAAGCGUGGGGAGCAAACAGGAUUAGAUACCCUGGUAGUCCACGCCGUAAACGAUGAUCAUUAGUUGGUGGCAGAAGUCACUAGCGCAGCUAACGCGUUAAAUGAUCCGCCUGAGUAGUAUGCUCGCAAGAGUGAAACUUAAAGGAAUUGACGGGAACCCGCACAAGCGGUGGAGCAUGUGGUUUAAUUUGAGGAUACGCGUAGAACCUUACCCACUCUUGACAUUCUCGCAAAACUAUAGAGAUAUAGCGGAGGCUAACGAGAUUACAGAUGGUGCAUGGUUGUCGUCAGCUCGUGUCGUGAGAUGUUAGGUUAAGUCCUGCAACGAGCGCAACCCUUUUCUUUAGUUGCUAACAUUAAGUUGAGAACCCUAGAGAUACUGCCGGUGUAAACCGGAGGAAGGUGGGGAUGACGUCAAAUCAUCAUGCCUCUUACGAGUGGGGCAACACACGUGCUACAAUGGCUACUACAAAGAGCAGCAAAACAGUGAUGUCAAGCUAAUCUCAAAAAAGUAGUCUCAGUUCGGAUUGAAGUCUGCAACUCGACUUCAUGAAGUCGGAAUCGCUAGUAAUCGCAGGUCAGCUAUACUGCGGUGAAUACGUUCUCGGGUUUUGUACACACCGCCCGUCACACCAUGGGAGUUGGUAAUGCCCAAAGUCGGUGAGUUAACCUCGGAGACCAUUGCCUAAGGCAGGACCGAUGACUGGGGUGAAGUCGUAACAAGGUAUCCCUACGAGAACGUGGGGAUGGAACACCUC